RNAcentral lists this long non-coding RNA (690 nucleotides) under Homo sapiens (human). RNAcentral's name for it is "HSALNT0397767". Lineage: Eukaryota; Metazoa; Chordata; Mammalia; Primates; Hominidae. The record is from RNAcentral.
GGUGCUGACAUAAUUUCCUGACCUCUGACCCGUAUUGUCUCGCGAUUAAAGGUCCAGAUUUGGAACAAAUCUCUCUAGAGAUUGAACAGAGCUGCGCCUGGAUCCCUCAGCAGUGAGGAGACCUGAAGACCAGAGGAAACACAGCAAGUCCAGGCACUCCCACUCCUCCUGAGAGAAAUCUACAGCCACAUCCCUGAACAUCAUCAACUGUUGGAAAGAAUAAUUCCAAGGGCUCACCAGAGAAGACAGGGCAAGGUGAGGGGGAUCUCCUAGCAGAGGAAACAACAUGCGCCAAUCAAGCAAAGAUAUUUUUGUGCAUUCAAGGAACACAGAGAGGAAAGACAGUGGCAGAUGGAGACGUAUAAAGCAGGGAUCCUGUUAUGAAAAGCCCUAAAAAAUAGGGUAUAGAGUUUGGGCCAUAUUUCAGAGGUAAUAAGAAAGCAUUCUGCAUUUUUAAAGUAAGGUUUAAAAAUGUUUCUAAUUAGAGAUACAGCAAAGUUGGUGUGAGAGGAUAAAGACUGAUAUACAUAAUCUGAGGAGUUCAUGAAAAUUCCAUGUAAAGCCUGUAGUAUGAAUUGGUCCUAGGAGACAGACAGCUUCAGGGGCAUAGAGAACUUUAAGCACUUUUCCAAGAAGAGUGAAGGGCUGGAGAAUAAAUUGUGAACUAAAAUAUAUUUUGUGUUUGAGAAC